AAAUUUCACCCUUCCAGUUUCUCCCGCUCGCGGCUUCCAAAUUCCGCAUCGACCAGCUCUAAGCUCCACCGUUUUCCAUGGCAUCGGAAUUCCUGUUACCUACAUCUGUUCAAUAUCAGGCACUUCUCUGAUGCGUCCUCGCCGCCGCCCUCUCCCGACGUUUCUUCUCAAAAUGCAGAGCUGCAAAGUCCGCAUUGUCCUGAGAAAAUAGUCAGAUAAGCUACGGGUACCUUGUCUGUGAAUCAACUCGAGCUUUCCAGAUUCUCCGCCAUUUCCGAAACCUAGUGGGAAUCCGAAGGGCCAUUUAAGCCAUUCCAUGUGAUGAACCCUACGAGAGUCUCACUUAUCAGAUUCAGUCUUUUCUGGCAUUUUAAGUGAAGAGAUGGCUGGAUUUGUGUGCAAUCCCUUAACCGGGCAAUGGUCCCUUUCAGAUGAUACCAGUGUAGAUUACAUCGCGUUUGGUUCAAAAAUCAGCCAGCAAACGAACUAACAAAGACGUAGCUGCUCGGGAUUCGGAUAACGCUUCAUCGGGGCCGUUGAUUCAUCAAGUUGAUCAUGUUUCCAUCACAAAGAUCGGCCAAUCACAGUUGCUCGUAGGUGGCAUUGGGUGAGGUAUAGUAACAUUGAAUCAUUAUAUGAAAAUUAACAUGAAAAUAAAUAUCAAUAAUAAAUUUUUAUGAAUUAUCUAAUGGUUUGGAAUUUAUUGAUCAAGGCCCGUGGUUUCCUCAGAACUAUUUGUCAAUACCAAUUAUCUUAUUAAUUUUUCAAUAUUGAGAUUUUGGUCUUUUAAGUUAUUGUCUGGAAAAUACGUGUUGGACUUGCUUGUACCAUAAUAUAACAUUCUUUGCCUAAAUUUCGUAGGUAGAAAGCAAUUUCCUAAUUCUAAUUAUUUCAUAUGCCAGACUUUUUAUAUAAAUAAAACUUUGGAGAAUUUUGUAUAAUUCAUCUUUAUCAAUGUCAUUUUUAAUGUCUUGAAUUCUUGUUAUCACAUAUUUUAAGUCUGGUUCAAAUUUGAUUUACUUCUUAUUGUUGGUUGGUCAUUUAUUCAAUUUAAAAUUCUAUCUCUUCUGAUGUUAGUUUGAUUUGAUUUUUUUUGAUCGGCCUACGUGUCUUUUGGAGCUUUUGUUCAGAAGUGUAUUUGAACAAUUGUAGUAAGGAUCUGCGAUCUUUUGUUCUAACCAGUUGAGCUAUCUUAACCACCUUUGUUCUAAUGAGG
Molecule: long non-coding RNA, 1216 nt
Organism: Cucurbita maxima (winter squash)
Lineage: Eukaryota; Viridiplantae; Streptophyta; Magnoliopsida; Cucurbitales; Cucurbitaceae
Exons: 4
Source: RefSeq, a predicted model, not a curated record